AGCGAACGCUGGCGGCAGGCCUAACACAUGCAAGUCGAGCGCCCGGCAACGGGAGCGGCAGACGGGUGAGUAACGCGUGGGGAUCUACCCAUUGGUACGGAAUAACUCCGGGAAACUGGAACUAAUACCGUAUGAGCCCCUUCGGGGGAAAGAUUUAUCGCCAAUGGAUGAACCCGCGUCAGAUUAGCUAGUUGGUGAGGUAAAGGCUCACCAAGGCGACGAUCUGUAGCUGGU
RNAcentral lists this ribosomal RNA (234 nucleotides) under uncultured bacterium. RNAcentral describes it as "partial 16S ribosomal RNA". It matches the Rfam family "Bacterial small subunit ribosomal RNA", at positions 29 to 291 of the family's 1533-position model. The record is from RNAcentral.